CCUAAUACAUGCAGUAGAACGCUGAAGAGAGGAGCUUGCUCUUCUUGGAUGAGUUGCGAACGGGUGAGUAACGCGUAGGUAACCUGCCUUGUAGCGGGGGAUAACUAUUGGAAACGAUAGCUAAUACCGCAUAACAAUGGAUGACACAUGUCAUUUAUUUGAAAGGGGCAAUUGCUCCACUACAAGAUGGACCUGCGUUGUAUUAGCUAGUAGGUGAGGUAAUGGCUCACCUAGGCGACGAUACAUAGCCGACCUGAGAGGGUGAUCGGCCACACUGGGACUGAGACACGGCCCAGACUCCUACGGGAGGCAGCAGUAGGGAAUCUUCGGCAAUGGGGGCAACCCUGACCGAGCAACGCCGCGUGAGUGAAGAAGGUUUUCGGAUCGUAAAGCUCUGUUGUAAGUCAAGAACGGGUGUGAGAGUGGAAAGUUCACACUGUGACGGUAGCUUACCAGAAAGGGACGGCUAACUACGUGCCAGCAGCCGCGGUAAUACGUAGGUCCCGAGCGUUGUCCGGAUUUAUUGGGCGUAAAGCGAGCGCAGGCGGUUUGAUAAGUCUGAAGUUAAAGGCUGUGGCUCAACCAUAGUUCGCUUUGGAAACUGUCAAACUUGAGUGCAGAAGGGGAGAGUGGAAUUCCAUGUGUAGCGGUGAAAUGCGUAGAUAUAUGGAGGAACACCGGUGGCGAAAGCGGCUCUCUGGUCUGUAACUGACGCUGAGGCUCGAAAGCGUGGGGAGCGAACAGGAUUAGAUACCCUGGUAGUCCACGCCGUAAACGAUGAGUGCUAGGUGUUGGAUCCUUUCCGGGAUUCAGUGCCGCAGCUAACGCAUUAAGCACUCCGCCUGGGGAGUACGACCGCAAGGUUGAAACUCAAAGGAAUUGACGGGGGCCCGCACAAGCGGUGGAGCAUGUGGUUUAAUUCGAAGCAACGCGAAGAACCUUACCAGGUCUUGACAUCCCGAUGCUAUUUCUAGAGAUAGAAAGUUACUUCGGUACAUCGGUGACAGGUGGUGCAUGGUUGUCGUCAGCUCGUGUCGUGAGAUGUUGGGUUAAGUCCCGCAACGAGCGCAACCCCUAUUGUUAGUUGCCAUCAUUCAGUUGGGCACUCUAGCGAGACUGCCGGUAAUAAACCGGAGGAAGGUGGGGAUGACGUCAAAUCAUCAUGCCCCUUAUGACCUGGGCUACACACGUGCUACAAUGGUUGGUACAACGAGUUGCGAGUCGGUGACGGCGAGCUAAUCUCUUAAAGCCAAUCUCAGUUCGGAUUGUAGGCUGCAACUCGCCUACAUGAAGUCGGAAUCGCUAGUAAUCGCGGAUCAGCACGCCGCGGUGAAUACGUUCCCGGGCCUUGUACACACCGCCCGUCACACCACGAGAGUUUGUAACACCCGAAGUCGGUGAGGUAACCUUUUGGAGCCAGCCGCGUAAGGUGGACAGAAGG
This 1441-nucleotide ribosomal RNA is filed under the name Streptococcus thermophilus. Its description in RNAcentral is "bacterial SSU rRNA". It matches the Rfam family "Bacterial small subunit ribosomal RNA". Lineage: Bacteria; Bacillati; Bacillota; Bacilli; Lactobacillales; Streptococcaceae. The record is from RNAcentral.